RNAcentral lists this ribosomal RNA (490 nucleotides) under uncultured bacterium. Its description in RNAcentral is "partial 16S ribosomal RNA". It matches the Rfam family "Bacterial small subunit ribosomal RNA", at positions 30 to 507 of the family's 1533-position model. The record is from RNAcentral.
AUUGAACGCUGGCGGCAGGCCUAACACAUGCAAGUCGAACGGUAACAGGAAACAGCUUGCUGUUUCGCUGACGAGUGGCGGACGGGUGAGUAAUGUCUGGGAAACUGCCUGAUGGAGGGGGAUAACUACUGGAAACGGUAGCUAAUACCGCAUAACGUCGCAAGACCAAAGAGGGGGACCCUCGGGCCUCUUGCCAUCGGAUGUGCCCAGAUGGGAUAAGCUUGUUGGUGGGGUAACGGCUCACCAAGGCGACGAUCCCUAGCUGGUCUGAGAGGAUGACCAGCCACACUGGAACUGAGACACGGUCCAGACUCCUACGGGAGGCAGCAGUGGGGAAUAUUGCACAAUGGGCGCAAGCCUGAUGCAGCCAUGCCGCGUGUAUGAAGAAGGCCUUCGGGUUGUAAAGUACUUUCAGCGGGGAGGAAGGGAGUAAAGUUAAUACCUUUGCUCAUUGACGUUACCCGCAGAAGAAGCACCGGCUAACUCCGUG